Molecule: ribosomal RNA, 119 nt
Filed under: Pteropus alecto (black flying fox)
Lineage: Eukaryota; Metazoa; Chordata; Mammalia; Chiroptera; Pteropodidae
Also listed under: 1 other name
Source: RNAcentral
GUCUACAGCCAUCCCACCCUGAACGUGCCCGAUCUCUUCUGAUCUUGGAAGCUAAGCAGGGCUGGGCCUGGUUAGUGCCUGAAUGGGAGACCACCUAGGAAUAUCAGGUGCUGUAGGCA